RNAcentral lists this ribosomal RNA (1252 nucleotides) under Vibrio parahaemolyticus. RNAcentral's name for it is "partial 23S ribosomal RNA". It matches the Rfam family "Bacterial large subunit ribosomal RNA", at positions 414 to 1670 of the family's 2925-position model. Lineage: Bacteria; Pseudomonadati; Pseudomonadota; Gammaproteobacteria; Vibrionales; Vibrionaceae. The record is from RNAcentral.
AGGGCGGGACACGUGAUAUCCUGUCUGAAUAUGGGGGGACCAUCCUCCAAGGCUAAAUACUACUGACUGACCGAUAGUGAACCAGUACCGUGAGGGAAAGGCGAAAAGAACCCCUGUGAGGGGAGUGAAAUAGAACCUGAAACCGUGUACGUACAAGCAGUAGGAGCAGGCUUUGUCCUGUGACUGCGUACCUUUUGUAUAAUGGGUCAGCGACUUAUAUUCAGUGGCAAGGUUAACCAUCUAGGGGAGCCGUAGGGAAACCGAGUCUUAACUGGGCGUUCAGUCUCUGGAUAUAGACCCGAAACCAGGUGAUCUAGCCAUGGGCAGGUUGAAGGUUGAGUAACAUCAACUGGAGGACCGAACCGACUAAUGUUGAAAAAUUAGCGGAUGACUUGUGGCUAGGGGUGAAAGGCCAAUCAAACCUGGAGAUAGCUGGUUCUCCCCGAAAGCUAUUUAGGUAGCGCCUCGGACGAAUACUACUGGGGGUAGAGCACUGUUAAGGCUAGGGGGUCAUCCCGACUUACCAACCCUUUGCAAACUCCGAAUACCAGUAAGUACUAUCCGGGAGACACACGGCGGGUGCUAACGUCCGUCGUGGAGAGGGAAACAACCCAGACCGCCAGCUAAGGUCCCAAAUUACUACUAAGUGGGAAACGAUGUGGGAAGGCUCAGACAGCCAGGAUGUUGGCUUAGAAGCAGCCAUCAUUUAAAGAAAGCGUAAUAGCUCACUGGUCGAGUCGGCCUGCGCGGAAGAUGUAACGGGGCUAAGUAGUAAACCGAAGCUGCGGCAAUGUGCUUUUGCACAUUGGGUAGGGGAGCGUUCUGUAAGCGGUUGAAGGUGUGUGGUAACGCAUGCUGGACGUAUCAGAAGUGCGAAUGCUGACAUGAGUAACGAUAAAGGGGGUGAAAAACCUCCUCGCCGGAAGACCAAGGGUUCCUGUCCAACGUUAAUCGGGGCAGGGUAAGUCGACCCCUAAGGCGAGGCCGAAAGGCGUAGUCGAUGGGAAACGGGUUAAUAUUCCCGUACUUCUUACAAUUGCGAUGGGGGGACGGAGAAGGCUAGGUGGGCCUGGCGACGGUUGUCCAGGUUCAAGUGCGUAGGCUUAAGAGUUAGGUAAAUCCGGCUCUUUCUAAGGCUGAGACACGACGUCGAGCACCUACGGGUGUGAAGUCAUUGAUGCCAUGCUUCCAGGAAAAGCCUCUAAGCUUCAGAUUGUAAGGAAUCGUACCCCAAACCGACACAGGUGGUCGG